Molecule: long non-coding RNA, 573 nt
Filed under: Numida meleagris (helmeted guineafowl)
Lineage: Eukaryota; Metazoa; Chordata; Aves; Galliformes; Numididae
Description: lncRNA (ENSNMEG00000002209.1)
Source: RNAcentral
ACAUCAAUGUCAUUUCUGCUACUGAACACAUAAGUUAAUAUUUUCAACUAUAUCCUUCUGAUUUUACCUUCUUCUUUAGUAAGUGAAUUAUAUCUUUGCAAGAAAUUAGCAUAAGUGACAAAGGGAAGGUUUCAUUUCUCACACAUACUUUACCUUCUGUAUGCACUCUUCAGCUUGCUGAGGAGGGUGUCCAAGAUGGCGGCAGCGGGAGGUUUGAGGCUUAAAGCCCACCCCACUUAAAUUGUAUCUAAACAAAUAAAGGCAAGAAGCAUUAUGGCAGUAAGGUUGUGCAGAGGUGGAGAUCUCUCAGGACUAGUGCUGGCAGGGCUCUGCCUCCAUACUGGCCUUCUGAGAAAUGGAGAGGUUGUGCACAUUUGGCACUGAGGCCCAGCCGCAUCCAGCAAGGUUGGACCUGCCUCAGUGAGACUUGUGGUGGGAAGCAGACCUGGUGCUGGCUGCAAUCUGCAAUCAGAGGUCAAUUUUGUUUUCCUGUAUCGGCAGCCAUUUUGGGAGAGAGGAGAAAUGACCAUCUACACAGUCACAGUCCAGAAGGAAUGGGAAAGGACUCCGAAU